GCAUCGGUGGUUCAGUGGUAGAAUGCUCGCCUGCCACGCCUUCGGCCAGGGUUCGAUUCCCGGCCGAUGCA
This 71-nucleotide transfer RNA is filed under the name Cordylochernes scorpioides. Its description in RNAcentral is "tRNA-Gly". It matches the Rfam family "tRNA". From Rfam's summary of the family: Transfer RNA (tRNA) molecules are approximately 80 nucleotides in length. Their secondary structure includes four short double-helical elements and three loops (D, anti-codon, and T loops). Further hydrogen bonds mediate the characteristic L-shaped molecular structure. tRNAs have two regions of fundamental functional importance: the anti-codon, which is responsible for specific mRNA codon recognition, and the 3' end, to which the tRNAs corresponding amino acid is attached (by aminoacyl-tRNA synthetases). tRNAs cope with the degeneracy of the genetic code in two manners: having more than one tRNA (with a specific anti-codon) for a particular amino acid; and 'wobble' base-pairing, i.e. permitting non-standard base-pairing at the 3rd anti-codon position. The record is from RNAcentral. Lineage: Eukaryota; Metazoa; Arthropoda; Arachnida; Pseudoscorpiones; Chernetidae.